RNAcentral lists this transfer RNA (72 nucleotides) under Nesterenkonia sp. CL21. Its description in RNAcentral is "tRNA-Asn". It matches the Rfam family "tRNA". From Rfam's summary of the family: Transfer RNA (tRNA) molecules are approximately 80 nucleotides in length. Their secondary structure includes four short double-helical elements and three loops (D, anti-codon, and T loops). Lineage: Bacteria; Bacillati; Actinomycetota; Actinomycetes; Micrococcales; Micrococcaceae. The record is from RNAcentral.
UCCCCAGUAGCUCAGUGGCAGAGCAUCCGACUGUUGAUCGGCGGCGCGCAGGUUCGAGUCCUGCCUGGGGAG